CCUCCAACUACCCUCGUGUACAUAUCUUUCCAACUUUCUCUCCUUUCAACCGAUCAAAUCAAACCCUUACUCUAUCUCUCUGUUAUCAUUAAUCUUCAAUUACUCCCCCAUCUACCACCCUUACAUCUGCCCUAUAUCUACAGCAGCUUCAAGUUGCGUCUCUGUUAUCAUUAAGGUUACCAGUGUCUCUGUUAUCAUUAAGGUUAACAUCAGCUUCAAGUAACACCGGAAGGUCCACGGCGGCGCUGUUGCUCCGGCGGCACUUCUUCUUCCACACUCCAACAGCAGGUCGCAUUUACAAUCUAAAGCCUCGAUGGGUUGAUGAGUCGUCUCCUUGGCUCGAUUUUGAUCCUCGAAUCCAACCACUCAGGAAUCACGGCUGAGUAACCGACGAACCAACACCGCACCACCAGACGACCCAUCGUCAAUGCUCGGAUCCUUGUUGCUCAACUCAUCGCUUCAACUUUUACUUCAGCCCCGAGCAGGAUUGGUUGAUUAAUAUGGAACAAGUAACAUUACAUACCGAGCAAUCAAAGGUCAUAGAUAUCUUGGAUUUGGGAACUUGCUGUCUGGAGUAGCUGGAGUGGUCAUGGGUCGACUGGAGGGAUUCUUGUGAUUGAACUAUUGAUAUCAUACAUUGGUUUUCGAAACAGUUUAACAUUGGUUUACUAUUUGCUUCCGCUGAACAUGUUGGUUUUCAUUUAACUCGUUGAUGGUAUUUUACAUUAAUAAUUAAGGGUUUUAUU
RNAcentral lists this long non-coding RNA (746 nucleotides) under Helianthus annuus (common sunflower). RNAcentral describes it as "hypothetical non coding rna". The record is from RNAcentral. Lineage: Eukaryota; Viridiplantae; Streptophyta; Magnoliopsida; Asterales; Asteraceae.